GUCUUUUUGAGUUAUUUUUAAAGUCUGACCUGCCCACUGAAUUUUAAAUGGCCGCAGUAUUCUAACUGUGCAAAGGUAGCAUAAUCAUUAGUCUUUUAAUUGAAGGCUGGUAUGAACGGUUGGACGAGGUAUAAGCUGUUUCAUAUAAAUUUAUAAUAGAAUUUUAUAUUUUAGUUAAAAAGCUAAAAUUUAAUUAAAAGACGAGAAGACCCUAUAAAUCUUUAUAUUUUUUAUAUUUUAAAUUUUUUUGAUUUAGUUUGUUUUUAUUAUAUAAAAUAUUUUGUUGGGGUGAUAUUAAAAUUUAAUAAACUUUUAAUUUUAAAGAAUCAUUAAUUUAUGAUUUAUUGAUCCAUUAGUAGUGAUUAUAAGAUUAAGUUACUUUAGGGAUAACAGCGUAAUUUUUUUGGAGAGUUCAUAUCGAUAAAAAAGUUUGCGACCUCGAUGUUGGAUUAAGAUAUAAUUUUAGGUGUAGCCGCUUAAAUGUUAAGUCUGUUCGACUUUUAAAUUCUU
RNAcentral lists this ribosomal RNA (510 nucleotides) under Dacus inornatus. Its description in RNAcentral is "partial 16S ribosomal RNA". It matches the Rfam family "Bacterial large subunit ribosomal RNA", at positions 1829 to 2597 of the family's 2925-position model. The record is from RNAcentral. Lineage: Eukaryota; Metazoa; Arthropoda; Insecta; Diptera; Tephritidae.